RNAcentral lists this ribosomal RNA (397 nucleotides) under uncultured bacterium. Its description in RNAcentral is "partial 16S ribosomal RNA". It matches the Rfam family "Bacterial small subunit ribosomal RNA", at positions 523 to 918 of the family's 1533-position model. The record is from RNAcentral.
AUACGUAGGGGGCGAGCGUUGUCCGGAAUGAUUGGGCGUAAAGGGCGCGUAGGCGGCGCGGUAAGUCUGGAGUGAAAGUCCUGCUUUCAAGGUGGGAAUUGCUUUGGAUACUGCCGCGCUUGAGUGCAGGAGAGGUUAUCGGAAUUCCCGGUGUAGCGGUGAAAUGCGUAGAGAUCGGGAGGAACACCAGUGGCGAAGGCGGGUAACUGGACUGCAACUGACGCUGAGGCGCGAAAGUGUGGGGAGCAAACAGGAUUAGAUACCCUGGUAGUCCACACUGUAAACGAUGAAUGCUAGGUGUAAGAGGUAUCGACCCCUUUUGUGCCGGAGUCAACACAAUAAGCAUUCCGCCUGGGGAGUACGGCCGCAAGGUUGAAACUUAAAGGAAUUGACGGGG